AAUAAGCCACGGCUAACUCUGUGCCAGCAGCCGCGGUAAGACAGAGGUGGCAAGCGUUAGUUCGGGAAUUACUGGGCGUAAAGAGUCUCGUAGGUGGUUUGUCAAGCUUUGGUGAAAGGCCGUAGCUUAACUAUGGGAAUGCCAAAGAGACUGGCAGGCUGGAGGCUGGGAGAGGGAAGCGGAAUUUCUGGUGUAGCGGUGAAAUGCGUACGAUAUCAGAAGGAAGGCCGGUGGCGAAGGCGGCUUCCUGGAACAGUCCUGACACUGAGAGACGAAAGCGUGGGGAGCAAACAGGAUUAGAUACCCUGGUAGUCCACGCCCUAAACGAUGGGUACUAAGUGUGGAGGGGUUAAACCCUCCGUGCCGCAGCAAACGCAGUAAGUACCCCGCCUGGGGAGUACGGCCGCAAGGUUGAAACUCAAAAGGAAUUGACGGGG
This 437-nucleotide ribosomal RNA is filed under the name uncultured bacterium. Its description in RNAcentral is "bacterial SSU rRNA". It matches the Rfam family "Bacterial small subunit ribosomal RNA", at positions 485 to 918 of the family's 1533-position model. The record is from RNAcentral.